AAAAGAUUUCUUCCUCCCAACACAGAUCACAGGGGCAAAUGGACACCGAACUAUGAGGGUCCGUACGUGGUUAAAAGGAUUUUCUAUGGCGGAGCUUUGAUGCUAACAACCAUGGAUGGCGAAGGAUUCCCGUCCCCUAUUAACUCAGACGUAGUUAAAAAAAUACUUCGCAUAAAAUAGACCCGCUGGACGAUAAAAAGAAUAGUCCAGGCAAAAAAAGGGCAUCCCGACGAACCAAAAAAAAAAAGAAUAAAGAGGUUUGGGCAAA
Molecule: long non-coding RNA, 268 nt
Filed under: Lathyrus oleraceus (garden pea)
Lineage: Eukaryota; Viridiplantae; Streptophyta; Magnoliopsida; Fabales; Fabaceae
Description: Pisum sativum (pea) long non-coding RNA (PSAT_LNC006584)
Source: RNAcentral